UACGGAGGGAGCUAGCGUUGUUCGGAAAUACUGGGCGUAAAGGGCUCGUAGGCGGCCAACUAAGUCAGACGUGAAAUCCCUCAGCUUAACUGGGGAACUGCGUCUGAUACUGGAUGGCUUGGAUUCGGGAGAGGAAUGCGGAAUUCCAGGUGUAGCGGUGAAAUGCGUAGAUAUCUGGAGGAACACCGGUGGCGAAGGCGGCAUUCUGGACCGAUAUUGACGCUGAGGAGCGAAAGCCAGGGGAGCAAACGGG
Molecule: ribosomal RNA, 253 nt
Filed under: uncultured bacterium
Lineage: Bacteria
Description: partial 16S ribosomal RNA
Rfam family: Bacterial small subunit ribosomal RNA
Source: RNAcentral